GGGGGCGUUUGGUUUUGACAGCGUAGAUCUUUGAAGGUAUAAGCAUGUCGGGCGUUGUGUAAUUAGCCCGUAAAUCUGAAUACUCAAACUAUAAAUGGCAAUACUCAGUAUGCCAUGGCUGCCUAAUCAGUGAUUAAGUAGUCAUUAGGGCCGCGUUGAGCCGGUUGUUCUGUUACCACGCUCCGCCGCCGACUUAACAAACAAAAACAGGAUGCUGCUACAGUAGGCUGUGCCGGUAGCAAAAGACUUAUACAGCUAAGCGUUUCAUUGGUUUGUCCUUUCCCGGUGCUGCGCCGACAAUUAAUAUAAGGAAUAAGCAUGUAGAAGGCCUUUGGAGGAUAUGUUUGGACAGGGGUUCGACUCCCCUCGCCUCCACAA
Molecule: transfer-messenger RNA, 378 nt
Filed under: Chitinophagaceae
Lineage: Bacteria; Pseudomonadati; Bacteroidota; Chitinophagia; Chitinophagales
Also listed under: 1 other name
Description: Niabella sp017744715 Standard tmRNA
Rfam family: transfer-messenger RNA
About the family: Bacterial tmRNA, also known as 10Sa RNA or SsrA, is named for its dual tRNA and mRNA-like properties. Its role is to liberate the mRNA from a stalled ribosome. To accomplish this part of the tmRNA is used as a reading frame that ends in a translation stop signal.
Source: RNAcentral